RNAcentral lists this ribosomal RNA (248 nucleotides) under uncultured bacterium. RNAcentral's name for it is "partial 16S ribosomal RNA". It matches the Rfam family "Bacterial small subunit ribosomal RNA", at positions 524 to 771 of the family's 1533-position model. The record is from RNAcentral.
UACGUAGGGUGCAAGCGUUAAUCGGAAUUACUGGGCGUAAAGCGUGCGCAGGCGGUGAUGUAAGACAGAUGUGAAAUCCCCGGGCUCAACCUGGGAACUGCAUUUGUGACUGCAUCGCUGGAGUGCGGCAGAGGGGGAUGGAAUUCCGCGUGUAGCAGUGAAAUGCGUAGAUAUGCGGAGGAACACCGAUGGCGAAGGCAAUCCCCUGGGCCUGCACUGACGCUCAUGCACGAAAGCGUGGGGAGCAA